RNAcentral lists this long non-coding RNA (591 nucleotides) under Panax ginseng (ginseng). RNAcentral describes it as "long non-coding RNA (PGIN_LNC017496)". The record is from RNAcentral. Lineage: Eukaryota; Viridiplantae; Streptophyta; Magnoliopsida; Apiales; Araliaceae.
CUUGGGCGGACCUAUGUGACGGACUAAGAACGGACUAAAGGAAAAAGGGUUAAAAAUGACGCGGGUCACAAAAAAAGGGGGAAAACAAAUUUGGGGCAAAUGAAUCAGAUAAUUUCCACAAAAUCCCUCUCUCUCCCCCCGACUCCCCAAAUUCAGAUAAUCAGAGCAUUUUUUCCACCAAAUCCCUCUCUGUCAAAACGAGUGUGAAGCAAACACCGGAAGGCCGAAUCCAUCAACGCUGCAUUCCAUUUCUUUUGGCCAUUUCUGCUCCUUUACACUUUUGCCCCUUUUCUGCCCUGCACAAACCCUAAUCGCAUCCAGUCACGCCCUCAUCAUCCAGAGCUACAACAACGACCUCCUCAUACGCAGGUAAUUAACAAUUUCUAGUUUUUUUCGAAAAUUAGCCUGAAAAGUUUCCGGUUUCAUUACGGUAUCUCCGGUUGCAGUUUCAUUGGCCUAUUUUUUUGAUUAUAAUCUCUUAUGCUGCACAUGUUAAAGAGGCACCAAGGCGGUUUCAGUCAUGUUCAAUUGUUCAUGUACAUACAGAGCCACACAAAGAAAAUCUCAUGCGCCACCAACGCACAAAUAUUA